UACGUAUGGGGCGAGCGUUGUUCGGAAUUAUUGGGUGUAAAGGGCGUCUAGGCGGGAGAUUAAGUUAGAUGUGAAAGGAGUGAGCUUAACCCACGAAUUGCAUCUAAAACUGGUUUUCUUGAGUUCGGGAGAGGAGAGCGGAAUUCUUGGUGUAGCGGUGAAAUGCGUAGAUAUCAAGAAGAACACCAGUGGCGAAGGCGGCUCUCUGGCCUAGAACUGACGCUGAAGCGCGAAAGCGUGGGUAGCGAACGGGAUUAGAUACCCGCGUAGUCCCUGA
This 277-nucleotide ribosomal RNA is filed under the name uncultured prokaryote. RNAcentral describes it as "partial 16S ribosomal RNA". It matches the Rfam family "Bacterial small subunit ribosomal RNA", at positions 524 to 800 of the family's 1533-position model. The record is from RNAcentral.